RNAcentral lists this ribosomal RNA (482 nucleotides) under Veillonella dispar. RNAcentral's name for it is "bacterial SSU rRNA". It matches the Rfam family "Bacterial small subunit ribosomal RNA", at positions 28 to 480 of the family's 1533-position model. The record is from RNAcentral. Lineage: Bacteria; Bacillati; Bacillota; Negativicutes; Veillonellales; Veillonellaceae.
GACGAACGCUGGCGGCGUGCUUAACACAUGCAAGUCGAACGAAGAGCGAUGGAAGCUUGCUUCUAUCAAUCUUAGUGGCGAACGGGUGAGUAACGCGUAAUCAACCUGCCCUUCAGAGGGGGACAACAGUUGGAAACGACUGCUAAUACCGCAUACGAUCUAAUCUCGGCAUCGAGGAAAGAUGAAAGGUGGCCUCUAUGUAUAAGCUAUCACUGAAGGAGGGGAUUGCGUCUGAUUAGCUAGUUGGAGGGGUAACGGCCCACCAAGGCGAUGAUCAGUAGCCGGUCUGAGAGGAUGAACGGCCACAUUGGGACUGAGACGCGGCCCAGACUCCUACGGGAGGCAGCAGUGGGGAAUCUUCCGCAAUGGACGAAAGUCUGACGGAGCAACGCCGCGUGAGUGAUGACGGCCUUCGGGUUGUAAAGCUCUGUUAAUCGGGACGAAAGGCCUUCUUGCGAAUAGUUAGAAGGAUUGACGGACCG